Molecule: ribosomal RNA, 331 nt
Filed under: uncultured bacterium
Lineage: Bacteria
Description: bacterial SSU rRNA
Rfam family: Bacterial small subunit ribosomal RNA
Source: RNAcentral
AGGGUUCGAUCAUGGCUCAGGACGAACGCUGGCGGCGCGCCUAACACAUGCAAGUCGAACGAGAGAUGAAGAGCUUGCUCUUCAAAUCGAGUGGCGAACGGGUGAGUAACGCGUGAGGAACCUGCCUCAAAGAGGGGGACAACAGUUGGAAACGACUGCUAAUACCGCAUAAGCCCACGGCUCGGCAUCGAGCAGAGGGAAAAGGAGCAAUCCGCUUUGAGAUGGCCUCGCGUCCGAUUAGCUAGUUGGUGAGGUAACGGCCCACCAAGGCGACGAUCGGUAGCCGGACUGAGAGGUUGAACGGCCACAUUGGGACUGAGACACGGCCCAG